This 214-nucleotide long non-coding RNA is filed under the name Vigna radiata. Its description in RNAcentral is "long non-coding RNA (VRAD_LNC012736)". Lineage: Eukaryota; Viridiplantae; Streptophyta; Magnoliopsida; Fabales; Fabaceae. The record is from RNAcentral.
GGCCAUUGGGCCUUAAGUGAGACUGCCAGGCCCAUAAGGAAAAGGUCAGCAUAACCUUAGGAGAGGGGAACUUUCCCUUUGUUCUGGGUUAUUUCACAGAAAGCUAUUCUCUCUCUAAAACCCUUGUGCCCUAAUAUUUUCUCUGACUUCUCUCUAAAAUUCCAGAACUUUGAACUGUUCAAAUCUAGAUUGGGUGCUGCCAAAUCAUUCCUGG